Molecule: long non-coding RNA, 3264 nt
Organism: Centrocercus urophasianus (Greater sage-grouse)
Lineage: Eukaryota; Metazoa; Chordata; Aves; Galliformes; Phasianidae
Exons: 4
Source: RefSeq, a predicted model, not a curated record
AAGAAAAAGUCACAUCAAGAAUUAAACGAUUCCUGGCAUCUGGUUACUUUCUGUCAUAGAACAACACAGAAGGAACAGUAAAAAGCUGUUGUAUUUCUGGACGAGAUCUGAAUAGUGAUGCACUAGCAACCCAAUUUCUUACACUGAUUUCUUUCUUAGGAUAUAAGCAUAUCCAGACCCUCUUUGGAAUAGGAGACAAGGGCAAAGAAGCAACCUCAGCAGAGCUGCUCGUUGUCUUUUUCUGUCUGCAGUGCAAAUGAAUUAUUGCCCCACUAAAAUGCAACUCUGCAACACAGCUUCCUACUCAUGGGAUUCACCAGCAGGACUAAUGUGACAGUGCUACAGAUGGCACCUGUGCUGUGUUUGCUGAAUGGUGCAUCUGAUGUAACACAGGUUAGGUUGUAGCAUCAUCAAGACUUUCAGUAAGGCCAAAGUGUGUUUCCCUGCCUUCUUGCGGGUAGAACACAACUGGCAGAGAACAGAAACACAGGAAAGGAUGGACAGGAUUUCUUAAAAGUUGAUGAAAAAAGUCUUAACAGUUUGUUCACAGCAACUCAAAUUUAUGUCAGCUAGGCAAAGACAGGCUUUAGGGCUUCUUGCCAACAUCUCUUUAUUAGAACUUGAAAAGCAAGACUGCACUGGACAAGCAGAAUGAGUGGCUACGAAGAAGAACCCUCAAGACUUUAGGGCUGUCUGGAAGAAGAAAUGUACCUACCUUACUAAUACAUCUGGUGGGAAACUGAAUGCACUACAUGCAAGUUACUACUACCAGCAUGACAGAGUUAUCCUUUUCCUCAUCCCUGUUUUUCUUCCAGUACUUCUGCUCCUAAGCCCACCUUUGCAUCAGCACACGCUUUCUAAUUGCGUGCUUUGAAGAGCCAGCUUUGAAAAGUCAGAAAGCCUUUCAGUUAUUACCUUCCACAAGUCUCCUGGAAGAUGCCAGCAUCAAAGCCAUCCCCAAGUCUGCAGUGUCAGUGGAAACAAUUGAUGGAGUGUUAGACACUUUCACACCAUAGCUGGAGAGGAGAUUCAGAUCCAAGUGAUCUACUCCUGCUCCAGAGCUUGCAACUAUCUUCAGGUUAGGCAGGCUCUGCAGCAGCUCCUCAUUAAUAACCGGUUUGUGAUACCACAUAUAAAUAGCUCUGAUCUUUUUGCCAAGAAAGCUCUUGUUUUCAAGAUAUUCUUUCAUGGUGAUGAGACAGAAACGUUCCUUUAGAAAUUCAGCAUGGUCUUCGUAUACCCCAUGCUUCCCUCCGAUGCAGUCAAUUAGCACACAGGGCAGCUCCUGACCCUCCAUGUCCUGCAAAAGCAAUGAGAAACCAAAAUGACAUCUCCCGCUGCAGGUUUUUUGAAAACAGGAACUGAUCGGCUCGGUUGCAUGCUCUUUUCUCACUUGAGGAUCGAUCUGGUCAAAGAUGUUUGCUCUCGUGAGUGGAACACGCGAGUUCACCAACCCGUCUUCAGAAGGAUGCGACUGUGAUUCGCAAGCACAGUCCUGGCACCAGAGCUACAGAAAAGUUCAGCGUCACACGCCGCCAACAGCAGCUGGCAAGCCUGCUUUGCUGGCUAACAACAAGCAGCAGUGCCCGCCCCAGGACCGCCGCAAAGCAGUACCGCUCUCUCGCCCCGGCUGCUCGAAACAAGCACGCACCUUCCCUGCAACGCAACGCAACGUCCCGUCCCCCACCGGAUCCCCCGCCACCGCAGCACGGCUCGGCAGACCCAGGGCGGGCUGGGACACGCCAAAAGUCCUCUCAGAAGGCGCUUGCGGACGGGACCGGAGACGUGAGCGCGCCUGAGAGACAGCCCGCCUCCUCCCGGCGGGAGCGAGCCGCCCGGCUCUCGAUGGUGAGCGAGGCACUCCAGGAAGGCUCUGACCUGUGCGGUAGGAGCAGCCGAGAGCCAGAAAACCCCGCCUGAGGCCAGGGACCUCUUUUCCUUCCGAGCCGAGAAGGGACCAGCACUUGUGAACUACUACACUGUCCUGAGCUCUGCAGCACUUUGCAGUUGCACAAUUGCAUACAGGACUGGCCGACGUCUGCAGUGUCGACAAGGUGCUUGCAUAAUGAUUGUUUCUUAAGGCAAGGCCAACCCAAGGAAGCAACUACCUCUCACUCACAGAUUAUGCCACAAGAACAUUUGAUGCAUUUGAUGUGCAUUUGAUUGGAAGCCAUCAUGAAGCACCACCACUAACCUGCCUGCUUGCUUCAGGUAAGGCCUGCAUCUCAUUAGACUGUUGUAGCAGCAGUCUGUGCUACGUCAUACAGUGUGCCUGUCCAAACAGACCUGCACUAACAGAACAAAUGUCACAUUUUGCAUUACAGUGUCUGCUGCAGUUUUUUAUUCUUCUUUUAGAGAGUUUAAAACUGAAGGUAUUAUGUCUUCCAAGUACAAUCUAAGUAGAAUAAGAGGAGGGAAACAGCAUGGAAAGAUGACCUUAACUGUAUGUAAGUUAAUUUGAUGCUAUUCAAUACGUAUUUAGAUUGAGGAAAGGUAGGAAAUGGAGGAAUAUUUCUUAUGGAAUUUGAAGAUAAGAGGCACUUGCUUCCUGAAGACACUGUUAGGAAGCUGUACUUCAGGUCAUGACUCCCAGUUUGUAAGGCGAUGUCAAGUAGUUAGGUGUUGUAUUGGAAUCAAACCCAUCCUUCCAAGCUGACAGCUGCCCAGCACUCCGUCUGAAGCGCUGCACUGGCAAGGAGCACUUCUCUAGAAGAUCAGCUCAGACUCCUAAAUAUCUGCAGCAGUGGAAGUAAAAGCAAGCAAAUGACAAGUGCAUUCUGUUCUUUUGGGUGCUCGUGAAAUGAUGUCCUGUUUGCUGCUUCUGUUUCAAUCUGGAGAAGUUUGUAGGCGCAAACUCUUUUCUCUAGUUUGUGGAUAUUAAUCUAAUACAUGGUAUUUUUUUUUCAUCUGUUCCUGUAGAUACCGGUGGCUUUGUUUUCAGCUUUGCAAUUUGUCACUUAGCCUUUUAUUAUGAAAGGAUAGACUUACAUUUGUCAGGAUAAUGCUGGUGAGAUCAAACACAUAGUGGGUGCCUGUACCUCAGGGAACAGGAGGUCUUUUGUAGAAGGAACAUGGGACAGUCCUAAAAUUCUUGUAAGCAAAAAUGCUGCUCCUUAAAAGCUACAGUAAUUUGUUUCCCCGAGCCACUAGAGUUGUUAUACACAGGUUCCAAAACCUAGGUAUGCUAACAUUCACUGUUUGGUCUCCAUAAACAUUAAACAAGCAUUGAUGACUGCCAUUUUUUCUGCAUGGAGAAAUUCAGUU